RNAcentral lists this ribosomal RNA (488 nucleotides) under uncultured bacterium. RNAcentral's name for it is "bacterial SSU rRNA". It matches the Rfam family "Bacterial small subunit ribosomal RNA", at positions 903 to 1397 of the family's 1533-position model. The record is from RNAcentral.
AAAUGAAUAGACGGGCACCCGCACAAGCGGUGGAGCAUGCUGUUUAAUUCGAAGAUACGCGAAGAACCUUACCUAGAUUUGACAUCCCCGGCAAUGCUAUGGAAACAUAGCGGAGGUUACCCGGGAGACAGGUGGUGCAUGGUUGUCGUCAGCUCGUGUCGUGAGAUGUUUGGUUAAGUCCAAUAACGAGCGCAACCCUUAUCUUUAGUUGCUAACAUUUAGUUGAGAACUCUAAAGAUACUGCCAGUGUAAGCUGGAGGAAGGUGGGGAUGAGGUCAAAUCAUCAUGCCCCUUACAUCUAGGGCUACAGGCGUGCUACAAUGGCCAAUACAACGAGUCGCAAUGCGGUGACGCAAAGCUAAUCUCUUAAAGUUGGUCCCAGUCCGGAUUGGAGUCUGCAACUCGACUCCAUGAAGUUGGAAUCGCUAGUAAUCCCGAAUCAGAAUGUCGGGGUGAAUACGUUCCCGGGUGUUGUACACACCGCCCGU